Molecule: transfer RNA, 72 nt
Filed under: Candidatus Woesearchaeota archaeon
Lineage: Archaea; Nanobdellati; Candidatus Woesearchaeota
Description: tRNA-His
Rfam family: tRNA
About the family: Transfer RNA (tRNA) molecules are approximately 80 nucleotides in length. Their secondary structure includes four short double-helical elements and three loops (D, anti-codon, and T loops).
Source: RNAcentral
ACCGCAGUGGUCUAACGGUUAUGAUGGGAGGUUGUGGACCUCUCGGAGAGGGUUCGACUCCCCCCUGCGGUC